RNAcentral lists this long non-coding RNA (357 nucleotides) under Malus domestica (apple). RNAcentral's name for it is "long non-coding RNA (MDOM_LNC014516)". The record is from RNAcentral. Lineage: Eukaryota; Viridiplantae; Streptophyta; Magnoliopsida; Rosales; Rosaceae.
UGGGGUCUCCAAUUCCAUGCAUGAUGAUGAACAAUUAUAACCCAGUUGGACCCCGGCGUAGAUAAUAUAUUCAGGUAUAGCUAUCCAUUUUUCGUUCUUCUCAGACUCAUUGAUUAAGUUAUACUAGGUUAGGCAGCCGGAGAAACCUUAUAGCUUUGCUAGAUUCUGUGUACAAUUCUUUCGUAUAAAGUGCAUCAAAGAGGUCUACCUAGGAUUGAAUUAAUUACUUGUAAGAACAUGGGAAAGCUUAUAAGUUAGGGACCUUCAUGAGAUGCUAGUUUUUGUGCUCCGAAACGGCAUUGUUGAGAACUUUCAAAAUGCCUGAGAGCCAAGUGCUGUCGGAAUACUGUUGAGAAU